UUACGGGAGGCAGCAGUCGGGAAUUUUGGGCAAUGGGGGAAACCCUGACCCAGCAACGCCGCGUGAGUGAAGAAGGCCUUCGGGUUGUAAAGCUCUGUUGCCCGGGACGAACGGGCGGGUUGGAAGCCCGCUGUGACGGUACCGGGUGAGGAAGCCCCGGCUAACUACGUGCCAGCAGCCGCGGUAAUACGUAGGGGGCGAGCGUUGUCCGGAGUUAUUGGGCGUAAAGGGCGCGUAGGCGGCCUGGUAAGUCUGAGGUGAAACGCCGCAGCUCAACUGCGGACUUGCCUUGGAAACUGUCGGGCUUGAGGUGAUCAGAGGAGUGCGGAAUUCCCGGUGUAGCGGUGAAAUGCGUAGAGAUCGGGAGGAACACCAGUGGCGAAGGCGGCACUCUGGGAUCAAUCUGACGCUGAGGCGCGAAAGCUAGGGGAGCAAACGGGAUUAGAUACCCCGGU
This 455-nucleotide ribosomal RNA is filed under the name uncultured bacterium. RNAcentral's name for it is "bacterial SSU rRNA". It matches the Rfam family "Bacterial small subunit ribosomal RNA", at positions 339 to 791 of the family's 1533-position model. The record is from RNAcentral.